GUAGGGAAUAUUGCGCAAUGGACGAAAGUCUGACGCAGCGACGCCGCGUGAGUGAUGAAGGCCUUAGGGUCGUAAAGCUCUGUUGAAUGGGAAGAAAAAAAUGACGGUACCAUUCGAGGAAGGACCGGCUAACUUCGUGCCAGCAGCCGCGGUAAUACGAGGGGUCCUAGCGUUGUUCGGAAUCAUUGGGCGUAAAGGGUGUGUAGGUGGUCAUGUAAGUCAGGGGUGAAAGCCCCGGGCUCAACCCGGGAAGUGCAAUUGAUACUGCGUGGCUUGAGUACCGAAGAGGGUAGUGGAAUUCCAGGUGUAGUGGUGAAAUACGUAGAUAUCUGGAGGAACACCGGUGGCGAAGGCGGCUACCUGGUCGAGUACUGACACUGAGACACGAAAGCAUGGGGAUCAAACAGGAUUAGAUACCCGAGUAGUCC
RNAcentral lists this ribosomal RNA (428 nucleotides) under uncultured bacterium. RNAcentral's name for it is "partial 16S ribosomal RNA". It matches the Rfam family "Bacterial small subunit ribosomal RNA", at positions 354 to 796 of the family's 1533-position model. The record is from RNAcentral.